CACCAGACUCCUACGGGAGGCAGCAGUGGGGAAUAUUGGGCAAUGGGCGAAAGCCUGACCCAGCAAUGCCGCAUGAAGGAAGAAGGCUUUCGGGUUGUAAACUUCUUUGACAGGGGAAGAGCAGAAGACGGUACCCUGAAAACAAGCCACGGCUAACUACGUGCCAGCAGCCGCGGUAAUACGUAGAUGGCAAGCGUUGUCCGGAUUUACUGGGUGUAAAGGGCGUGUAGCCGGGCUGACAAGUCAGAUGUGAAAUCCGGGGGCUCAACCCCCGAACUGCAUUUGAAACUGUUGGUCUUGAGUAUCGGAGAGGCAGGCGGAAUUCCUAGUGUAGCGGUGAAAUGCGUAGAUAUUAGGAGGAACACCAGUGGCGAAGGCGGCCUGCUGGACGACAACUGACGGUGAGGCGCGAAAGCGUGGGGAGCAAACAGGAUUAGAUACCCCAGUAA
RNAcentral lists this ribosomal RNA (449 nucleotides) under uncultured bacterium. RNAcentral's name for it is "partial 16S ribosomal RNA". It matches the Rfam family "Bacterial small subunit ribosomal RNA", at positions 329 to 793 of the family's 1533-position model. The record is from RNAcentral.